UGGGGAAUAUUGCACAAUGGGCGCAAGCCUGAUGCAGCCAUGCCGCGUGUAUGAAGAAGGCCUUCGGGUUGUAAAGUACUUUCAGUCGGGAGGAAGGUGUCAAGGUUAAUAACCUUGGCAAUUGACGUUACCGACAGAAGAAGCACCGGCUAACUCCGUGCCAGCAGCCGCGGUAAUACGGAGGGUGCAAGCGUUAAUCGGAAUUACUGGGCGUAAAGCGCACGCAGGCGGUUGAUUGAGUCAGAUGUGAAAUCCCCGGGCUUAUCCCGGGAAUUGCAUCUGAUACUGGUCAGCUAGAGUCUUGUAGAGGGGGGUAGAAUUCCAUGUGUAGCGGUGAAAUGCGUAGAGAUGUGGAGGAAUACCGGUGGCGAAGGCGGCCCCCUGGACAAAGACUGACGCUCAGGUGCGAAAGCGUGGGGAGCAAACAGG
RNAcentral lists this ribosomal RNA (429 nucleotides) under Chloroflexota bacterium. Its description in RNAcentral is "Chloroflexi bacterium partial 16S ribosomal RNA". It matches the Rfam family "Bacterial small subunit ribosomal RNA", at positions 355 to 776 of the family's 1533-position model. The record is from RNAcentral. Lineage: Bacteria; Bacillati; Chloroflexota.